Molecule: transfer RNA, 68 nt
Filed under: Tenthredo tienmushana
Lineage: Eukaryota; Metazoa; Arthropoda; Insecta; Hymenoptera; Tenthredinidae
Description: tRNA-Ser
Source: RNAcentral
GAAAUAUGAAGAAUCAAAUAAAAGCUUCUAACUUUUUUUUUUAACGAUUAAAUUUCGUUUAUAUUUCU